GAUGAACGCUGGCGGCGUGCCUAAUACAUGCAAGUAGAACGCUGAAGGGGGAGCUUGCUCUUCUUGAUGAGUUGCGAACGGGUGAGUAACGCGUAGGUAACCUGCCUGGUAGCGGGUGAUAACUAUUGGAAACGAUAGCUAAUACCGCAUGACAACAGUUGUUGCAUGAUAACUGUUUAAAAGGGGCAACUGCUCCACUACUAGAUGGACCUGCGUUGUAUUAGGUAGUUGGUGAUGUAACGGCUCACCAACGCGACGAUACAUAGCCGACCUGAGAGGGUGGUCGGGCAACAUGGGAAUGAGGAACGGCUCAGGAUCCUUACGGGGGGCGGAGGAGGGGAACUUCGGCAAUGGACGGAAGUCUGACCGAGGAACGCCGGGGGAGUGAAGAAGGGUCUCGGAUCGUAAAGACCUGUUGUAAGGGAAGAAAGAGAGUGAGAGUGGAAAGUUCACAAUGUGACGGUAUCUUACCAGAAAGGGACGGCUAACUACGUG
This 495-nucleotide ribosomal RNA is filed under the name uncultured bacterium. RNAcentral describes it as "partial 16S ribosomal RNA". It matches the Rfam family "Bacterial small subunit ribosomal RNA", at positions 28 to 507 of the family's 1533-position model. The record is from RNAcentral.